Molecule: ribosomal RNA, 332 nt
Filed under: uncultured eukaryote
Lineage: Eukaryota
Description: partial 18S ribosomal RNA
Rfam family: Eukaryotic small subunit ribosomal RNA
Source: RNAcentral
CCCUUAGAUGUUCUGGGCUGCACACGUGCUACACUGGCAGGUUCAGCGAGCUUCAUGCCCUGAUCUGAAAGGAAUGGGAAAUCUUUUCAAAACCUGCCGUGCUUGGGAUAGAUGUUUGCAAUUAUUCAUCUUCAACGAGGAUUGCCUUGUAAGCGCACGUCAUCAGCGUGCAUUGAAUACGACCCUGUAUUCUGUACACACCGCCCGUCGCUCCUACCGAUUGAAGUUUUCGGUGUGUUGACAGGAGGAUUUUUUUGAAACUGGUUCGCCAGUGGAUUUUAGAUCCAAAUGCCAACGAAUCGAUGGCUUUAGAGGAAGGAGAAGUCGUAACA